CAGCAUUCUUAAACCCUCUUGGUAGCAUUGCUGAAAACGCUUCCAAGAUAUGAGUGAAUGCAACAGAAAAUUGCAGAUUAAUCCAAAAUGCUAAGCAUUUUCUUCUGACUUUGCAUUAUUUCACAUCUGCGACAAUUU
This 138-nucleotide small nucleolar RNA is filed under the name Phascolarctos cinereus (koala). Its description in RNAcentral is "Small nucleolar RNA SNORA14 (ENSPCIG00000013576.2)". It matches the Rfam family "Small nucleolar RNA SNORA14". Rfam says of the family: ACA14 is a member of the H/ACA class of snoRNA that guide the sites of modification of uridines to pseudouridines. Lineage: Eukaryota; Metazoa; Chordata; Mammalia; Diprotodontia; Phascolarctidae. The record is from Rfam by way of RNAcentral.